RNAcentral lists this ribosomal RNA (468 nucleotides) under uncultured bacterium. RNAcentral's name for it is "partial 16S ribosomal RNA". It matches the Rfam family "Bacterial small subunit ribosomal RNA", at positions 28 to 507 of the family's 1533-position model. The record is from RNAcentral.
GACGAACGCUGGCGGCGUGCUUAACACAUGCAAGUCGAACGGAAAGGCCCUGCUUUUGUGGGGUGCUCGAGUGGCGAACGGGUGAGUAACACGUGAGUAACCUGCCCUUGACUUUGGGAUAACUUCAGGAAACUGGGGCUAAUACCGGAUAGGAGCUCCUGCUGCAUGGUGGGGGUUGGAAAGUUUCGGCGGUUGGGGAUGGACUCGCGGCUUAUCAGCUUGUUGGUGGGGUAGUGGCUUACCAAGGCUUUGACGGGUAGCCGGCCUGAGAGGGUGACCGGCGACAUUGGGACUGAGAUACGGCCCAGACUCCAACGGGAGGCAGCAGUGGGGAAUAUUGCACAAUGGGCGGAAGCCUGAUGCGGCAACGCCGCGUGCGGGAUGACGGCCUUCGGGUUGUAAACCGCUUUCGCCUGUGACGAAGCGUGAGUGACGGUAAUGGGUAAAGAAGCACCGGCUAACUACGUG